UUUCCGUAGGUGAACCUGCGGAAGGAUCAUUGUCGAAACUUGCACAGUGUUAGUGGACAUGUGAACUUGUCAGGACACAUAUAGGGGGUGCGCGAGGAGCUUCUUUGUCUCCUCCCGUCGUUAAUGGGGGUACGUGGUCUAGAGGCCAUGUGUACCUCGGUCCAACUCUCAAAAUCGGCACGAGACGUGCCAAGGAAACUCAAUUCGAAAUUCUAUUACUUGGCCCACGCAAUAUGUAUGCGUGUGUUCGAGGAGGAGACAUAUGAAAUAGUUGGUGUGAUAAAAUGACUCUCGGCAAUGGAUAUCUCGGCUCACGCAUCGAUGAAGAACGCAGCAAAAUGUGAUACUUGGUAUGAAUUGCAGAAUCUCGUGAGUCAUUGAGUUUUUGAAUGCAAGUUGCGCCUGAAGCCAUUUUUUUGGUCUAGGGCACACCUGCCUGGGCGUCGUUCAUGCAGUUUUCCAGUGACCUCCUCCACGAGACCCAAUCCUCGGUUGAUUUUUUGAGGGGGUACGGGCAUGAGGAACCACUCGGGUGUAUGUUGGCCUCCCGUUCCUUGUUGUUCGGUUGGUUUAAAUUUGGGGCCCUUGGUGGCAUGCAUCGUUGAUGAGAGUUAUCGUAAACAACGUUUGUCCGGUGUUGGCAGGUGAGCCCCCUCGGUCCCAUGGAUUCCUUGACACUUACAUGGAGUUGCCAUUUCGACCCC
Molecule: unclassified non-coding RNA, 704 nt
Filed under: Viscum menyhartii
Lineage: Eukaryota; Viridiplantae; Streptophyta; Magnoliopsida; Santalales; Viscaceae
Description: sequence contains ITS1, 5.8S rRNA gene, ITS2
Rfam family: 5.8S ribosomal RNA (bases 287-446)
Source: RNAcentral